RNAcentral lists this small RNA (118 nucleotides) under Streptomyces sp. CB02488. Its description in RNAcentral is "Streptomyces-metK RNA". It matches the Rfam family "Streptomyces-metK RNA". Lineage: Bacteria; Bacillati; Actinomycetota; Actinomycetes; Kitasatosporales; Streptomycetaceae. The record is from Rfam by way of RNAcentral.
GCGAGACACGUUGUCCACCGGCCGGAGCCGACCGAUAAACUGGUCCAGGACCGUACCGGGCGCAGCUCCCGGGCCCGUCCGCCAAUGAUCAGCCAGCAGCCGCUGCAACCCCAGGGAG